GAUGAACGCUAGCUACAGGCUUAACACAUGCAAGUCGAGGGGUAACGAGAGGAAAGCUUGCUUUCCUUGUCGACGACCGGCGCACGGGUGAGUAGCGCGUAUCCAACCUGCCCCCAACUAGGGAAUAACCUUGCGAAAGUAAGACUAAUACCCUAUAAUUUCCUCAGAUGUCAUCUGACGAGGAAUAAAGAUUUAUCGGUUGUGGAUGGGGAUGCGUCUGAUUAGCUUGUUGGCGGGGUAACGGCCCACCAAGGCAACGAGCAGUAGGGGUUCUGAGAGGAAGGUCCCCCACAUUGGAACUGAGACACGGUCCAAACUCCUACGGGAGGCAGCAGUGAGGAAUAUUGGUCAAUGGGCGGAAGCCUGAACCAGCCAAGUAGCGUGCAGGAUGACGGCCCUAUGGGUUGUAAACUGCUUUUAUACAGGAAUAAAGUUAGCCACGUGUGGAUAUUUGUAGGUACUGUAUGAAUAAGGACCGGCUAAUUCCGUGCCAGCCGCCGCAGUAA
Molecule: ribosomal RNA, 506 nt
Filed under: uncultured bacterium
Lineage: Bacteria
Description: partial 16S ribosomal RNA
Rfam family: Bacterial small subunit ribosomal RNA
Source: RNAcentral